RNAcentral lists this ribosomal RNA (496 nucleotides) under uncultured Glomeromycotina. RNAcentral's name for it is "partial small subunit ribosomal RNA". It matches the Rfam family "Eukaryotic small subunit ribosomal RNA", at positions 591 to 1092 of the family's 1831-position model. Lineage: Eukaryota; Fungi; Glomeromycota. The record is from RNAcentral.
CCAAUAGCGUAUAUUAAAGUUGUUGCAGUUAAAAAGCUCGUAGUUGAAUUUCGGGGUUCUACCGUUGGUCGGGCAAUAGUCUGUACUGGCGUGUGGAAUUUCUACCUUCUGGGGAACCAUCAUGUUAUUUAUUUAGCGUGGUGGGAAACCAGGACCUUUACCUUGAAAAAAUUAGAGUGUUCAAAGCAGGCUUACGUCUGAAUACAUUAGCAUGGAAUAAUAAAAUAGGACGGUUGUCCUGUUUUGUUGGUUUCUGAAUCACCGUAAUGAUUAAUAGGGAUAGUUGGGGGCAUUAGUAUUCAAUUGUCAGAGGUGAAAUUCUUGGAUUUAUUGAAGACUAACUUCUGCGAAAGCAUUUGCCAAGGAUGUUUUCAUUAAUCAAGAACGAAAGUUAGGGGAUCGAAGACGAUCAGAUACCGUCGUAGUCUUAACCAUAAACUAUGCCGACUAGGGAUCGGACGAUGUUAAUUUUUCUUGACUCGUUCGGCGCCUUACG